This 471-nucleotide ribosomal RNA is filed under the name Staphylococcus aureus. RNAcentral describes it as "partial 23S ribosomal RNA". It matches the Rfam family "Bacterial large subunit ribosomal RNA", at positions 444 to 918 of the family's 2925-position model. Lineage: Bacteria; Bacillati; Bacillota; Bacilli; Caryophanales; Staphylococcaceae. The record is from RNAcentral.
CUGGGAGGACCAUCUCCUAAGGCUAAAUACUCUCUAGUGACCGAUAGUGAACCAGUACCGUGAGGGAAAGGUGAAAAGCACCCCGGAAGGGGAGUGAAAUAGAACCUGAAACCGUGUGCUUACAAGUAGUCAGAGCCCGUUAAUGGGUGAUGGCGUGCCUUUUGUAGAAUGAACCGGCGAGUUACGAUUUGAUGCAAGGUUAAGCAGUAAAUGUGGAGCCGUAGCGAAAGCGAGUCUGAAUAGGGCGUUUAGUAUUUGGUCGUAGACCCGAAACCAGGUGAUCUACCCUUGGUCAGGUUGAAGUUCAGGUAACACUGAAUGGAGGACCGAACCGACUUACGUUGAAAAGUGAGCGGAUGAACUGAGGGUAGCGGAGAAAUUCCAAUCGAACCUGGAGAUAGCUGGUUCUCUCCGAAAUAGCUUUAGGGCUAGCCUCAAGUGAUGAUUAUUGGAGGUAGAGCACUGUUUGGA